CCUACGGGAGGCAGCAGUGGGGAAUAUUGCGCAAUGGGCGAAAGCCUGACGCAGCGACGCCGCGUGAGGGAUGAAGGUCUUCGGAUCGUACACCUCUGUCAGCAGGGAAGAACGGUCACUGUGCUAAUCAGCAGUGAAUUGACGGUACCUGCAAAGGAAGCACCGGCUAACUCCGUGCCAGCAGCCGCGGUAAGACGGAGGGUGCGAGCGUUAAUCGGAAUUACUGGGGGUAAAGCGCUCGUAGGGGGGAUGUCAAGUCAAGGGUGAAAUCCCCGCGCUCCACGUGGGAACUGCCUUUGAAACUGGGCAACUGGAGUGUGUGAGAGGAUAGUGGAAUUCCAGGUGUAGGAGUGAAAUCCGUAGAUAUCUGGAGGAACAUCAGUGGCGAAGGCGACUAUCUGGCACAUAACUGACGCUGAGGAGCGAAAGCGUGGGUAGCAAACAGGAUUAGAUACCCGGGUAGUC
This 465-nucleotide ribosomal RNA is filed under the name uncultured bacterium. Its description in RNAcentral is "partial 16S ribosomal RNA". It matches the Rfam family "Bacterial small subunit ribosomal RNA", at positions 338 to 795 of the family's 1533-position model. The record is from RNAcentral.